RNAcentral lists this small RNA (125 nucleotides) under Marmota monax (woodchuck). Lineage: Eukaryota; Metazoa; Chordata; Mammalia; Rodentia; Sciuridae. The record is from RNAcentral.
GCCAGGCACAGUGGCACAUGCCUGUAAUCCCAGCCACUCUGGAGGCUGAGACAGGAGAAUCGUGAGUUUAAAGCCAGCCUCAGCAAUGGUGAGGCACUAAGCAACUCAAGGAGACCCUGUCUGUA